CCUACGGGUGGCAGCAGUGAGGAAUAUUGGUCAAUGGGCGGAAGCCUGAACCAGCCAAGCAGCGUGCAGGAUGACGGCCCUACGGGUUGUAAACUGCUUUUGUACGGGGAUAAAACCAGUUACGUGUACCUCUCUGCAUGUACCGUAUGAAUAAGGACCGGCUAACUCCGUGCCAGCAGCCGCGGUAAUACGGAGGAUCCGGGCGUUAUCCGGAUUUAUUGGGUUUAAAGGGUGCGUAGGCGGCAUGUGAAGUGAGCGGUGAAAUCUCCGGGCUCAACCCCGGCCUUGCCGCUGAAACUGGCGGGCUUGAGAGGGCGGAAGGCAGGCGGAAUGCGUGGUGUAGCGGGGAAAUGCUUAGAUAUGACGAAGAACCCCGAUUGCGAAGGCAGCUUACCGGAGCGGAACUGACGCUGAGGCACGAAAGCGUGGGUAUCGAACAGGAUUAGAUACCCGGGUAGUC
Molecule: ribosomal RNA, 460 nt
Filed under: uncultured bacterium
Lineage: Bacteria
Description: partial 16S ribosomal RNA
Rfam family: Bacterial small subunit ribosomal RNA
Source: RNAcentral